RNAcentral lists this transfer RNA (85 nucleotides) under bacterium. RNAcentral's name for it is "tRNA-Tyr". It matches the Rfam family "tRNA". From Rfam's summary of the family: Transfer RNA (tRNA) molecules are approximately 80 nucleotides in length. Their secondary structure includes four short double-helical elements and three loops (D, anti-codon, and T loops). The record is from RNAcentral.
GGGGAGUUGCCCGAGUGGCUAAAGGGGGCGGGCUGUAAACCCGCUGGCGAUGCCUACGGUGGUUCAAAUCCAUCACUCCCCACCA